GACGAACGCUGGCGGCGUGCCUAAUACAUGCAAGUAGAACGCACAGUUUAUACCGUAGCUUGCUACACCAUAGACUGUGAGUUGCGAACGGGUGAGUAACGCGUAGGUAACCUGCCUGGUAGCGGGGGAUAACUAUUGGAAACGAUAGCUAAUACCGCAUAAUAUUAAUUAUUGCAUGAUAAUUAAUUGAAAGGUGCAAUUGCACCACUACCAGAUGGACCUGCGUUGUAUUAGCUAGUAGGUGAGGUAACGGCUCACCUAGGCGACGAUACAUAGCCGACCUGAGAGGGGGAUCGGCCAAACUGGGACUGAGACACGGCCCAGACUCCUACGGGAGGCAGCAGUAGGGAAUCUUCGGCAAUGGACGAAAGUCUGACCGAGCAACGCCGCGUGAGUGAAGAAGGGUUUCGGAUCGUAAAGCUCUGUUGUAAGAGAAGAACGGGUGUGAGAGUGGAAAGUUCACACUGUGACGGUAGCUUACCAGAAAGAGACGGCUAACUACGUG
RNAcentral lists this ribosomal RNA (505 nucleotides) under uncultured bacterium. RNAcentral describes it as "partial 16S ribosomal RNA". It matches the Rfam family "Bacterial small subunit ribosomal RNA", at positions 28 to 507 of the family's 1533-position model. The record is from RNAcentral.